This 642-nucleotide long non-coding RNA is filed under the name Equus asinus (donkey). RNAcentral describes it as "lncRNA (ENSEASG00005031474.1, ENSEASG00020019769.1)". Lineage: Eukaryota; Metazoa; Chordata; Mammalia; Perissodactyla; Equidae. The record is from RNAcentral.
CUGGCUCCUCCCUGCGGGCGCCCUUGGGUCGGGGACCCGCCCCGGGGGAGCGCUGCCGGGGCGCCGGAAACCUCCUGAAGGCCACUGCGCCUUUGAAGCGCUGGGCCUCCUCUGGUCCUUGUUUCAGUCCCCGGACCUGCCUCCAGAAUACCAUGCGUACGUGCUCUGCCGGCAACAGGCCUGUCAGAAGACCAGAUCUCUUUAGUUGAGCACCGUUUUAACCCAAGGUGGCAGCACCACAUUGGGAGUUCUCCACGGCACCCACUAAUGUAGGGGGACGCUGAACCGCGGAGGAGAGGUUGCCGGGCUAGACAGCAAAGAAGUGGCAGGAGUUCUGGUCUCAGUUUUUAGAGAAAACAGACUUCCCAUUUCAGUCCUGAAAUCCUUCACGGCUCAUCCCUCAGAGCCUCGUGAGAUGAGCACUGCAGAAAAAUACUACGCGGGCCGGCCCAGUGGCGCAGCAGUUAAGUUCGCACAGUCCCCUUCAGCAGCCCAGGGUUCGCCAGCCUGGAUCCCGGGCGUGGACCUAUGCACUGCAUGUCAAGCCAUGCUGUGGCAGGCAUCCCACAUAUAAAGUAGAGGAAGAUGGGCACGGAUCUUAGCUCAGGGCCAGUCUUCCUCAGCAAAAAGAGGAGAAUUGGC